GGCUAACGCUGGCGGCGUGUCUUAGCCAUGCAAGUCGAGCGGACUUAUGGGGUAACUUAUAAGUCAGCGGCGGACGGCGGAGUAACACGUAGCUAACCUACCCUCUGGACGGGGAUAACCUACCGAAAGGUGGGCUAAUACCCGAUGUAGUCAUCCUGUAUAGGGGUGAUGAAAGGUGGGCUUCUGUUUACAAGCUCAUGCUGGAGGAGGGGGCUGCGGCCUAUCAGGUAGUUGGUAGGGUAAUAGCCUACCAAGCCGAUGACGGGUAGCCGGCCUGAGAGGGUGACCGGCCCGAGGGGCACUGAGAUACGGGUCCCACUCCUACGGGAGGCAGCAGGCUAGAAAUUUGGGCAAUGGGGGAAACCCUGACCCAGUGACGCCGCGUGCAGGGAAGGAGCCCUUCGGGGUGUAAACUGCUGUCGUGUAGGGAGAAGGGUACUAAGGUGAACAAUCUUAGUACUUGACGGUACUACAGGAGGAAGCCCAGGCUAACCUCGUG
This 499-nucleotide ribosomal RNA is filed under the name uncultured bacterium. RNAcentral describes it as "bacterial SSU rRNA". It matches the Rfam family "Bacterial small subunit ribosomal RNA", at positions 28 to 507 of the family's 1533-position model. The record is from RNAcentral.